Molecule: unclassified non-coding RNA, 268 nt
Filed under: uncultured fungus
Lineage: Eukaryota; Fungi
Description: partial contains small subunit ribosomal RNA, internal transcribed spacer 1, and 5.8S ribosomal RNA
Rfam family: Eukaryotic small subunit ribosomal RNA (bases 1-73)
Source: RNAcentral
GCAAACUUGGUCAUUUAGAGGAAGUAAAAGUCGUAACAAGGUUUCCGUAGGUGAACCUUCGGAAGGAUCAUUAAACACGCUUUAUGCGAGUGCCCAGCACGUCUGGGUUUCACUACCCUUGUCUUUGAGUACCUUUGUUUCCUCGGCAGGUUCGCCUGCCAUUGGGGACUUUUAAACAUCUUGUAAUAGCAGUUCUGUCUGAAAUAAGCAAACAAUUAAAACUUUCAACAACGGAUCUCUUGGUUCUGGCAUCGAUGAAGAACGCAGC